RNAcentral lists this ribosomal RNA (550 nucleotides) under uncultured Glomeromycotina. RNAcentral's name for it is "SSU rRNA". It matches the Rfam family "Eukaryotic small subunit ribosomal RNA", at positions 550 to 1109 of the family's 1831-position model. The record is from RNAcentral. Lineage: Eukaryota; Fungi; Glomeromycota.
UUGGAGGGCAAGUCUGGUGCCAGCAGCCGCGGUAAUUCCAGCUCCAAUAGCGUAUAUUAAAGUUGUUGCAGUUAAAAAGCUCGUAGUUGAAUUUCGGGAUCAAUACGUCGGUCGUGCUUUCGGGUACGUACUGGCGUCAUUGGUUUCUCCUUUCUGACGAACCAUGAUGUCAUUAAUUUGGUGUUAUGGGGAGUUAGGACUGUUACUUUGAAGAAAUUAGAGUGUUUAAAGCAGGCAUUAGCUUGAAUACAUUAGCAUGGAAUAAUGAAAUAGGACGUUCGAUCCUAUUUUGUUGGUUUCUAGGAUCAACGUAAUGAUUAAUAGGGAUAGUUGGGGGCAUUAGUAUUCAAUUGUCAGAGGUGAAAUUCUUGGAUUUAUUGAAGACUAACUACUGCGAAAGCAUUUGCCAAGGAUGUUUUCAUUAAUCAAGAACGAAAGUUAGGGGAUCGAAGACGAUCAGAUACCGUCGUAGUCUUAWCCAUAAACUAUGCCGACUAGGGAUCGGAUGAUGUUAAUUUUUUAAUGACUCAUUCGGCGCCUUACGGGAAAC